AGGCUCACCCUCGAGCGCGGGCUAAUUUAGGGACAGUAGUAGCAACGCUGAGUCCCCAACACGCCGUAAGCAUUGGAAUCAAUUGGAAUCGAAGCUAUUCUUACAAUAUUAUGGACGAGGUCUCUGUCGGACAGACGGCUGUCAGACGCUGCAGAGACCCUUCCCGGGCAUUUGCAAAGGUGUUGGUAUUUUAUUAUAUUUAUUUACUCCGGCUGAAACUGUGAAACAAGUCACAGUUAGACAAUAAUAACAGCACACAAAGGAGCUGCAAGG
RNAcentral lists this small RNA (273 nucleotides) under Histoplasma capsulatum var. duboisii H88. Its description in RNAcentral is "Histoplasma capsulatum H88 hypothetical RNA". Lineage: Eukaryota; Fungi; Ascomycota; Eurotiomycetes; Onygenales; Ajellomycetaceae. The record is from RNAcentral.